UGGUGUUAAACGAUCUAAUCGUACUAAGUUUCGGCCUUAGCUUAUAGUAACUAGCAACUAAACACCUU
RNAcentral lists this transfer RNA (68 nucleotides) under Euglandina singleyana. RNAcentral describes it as "tRNA-Arg". The record is from RNAcentral. Lineage: Eukaryota; Metazoa; Mollusca; Gastropoda; Stylommatophora; Spiraxidae.